UAGAGUUUGAUCCUGGCUCAGGAUGAACGCUGGCGGCGUGCCUAACACAUGCAAGUCGAACGAAGCACUUUCUUUAGAUUCUUCGGAUGAAGAAGACUGUGACUGAGUGGCGGACGGGUGAGUAACGCGUGGGCAACCUGCCCUGUACAGGGGGAUAACAGUUAGAAAUGACUGCUAAUACCGCAUAAGCGCACGAGGACGCAUGUUCUUGUGUGAAAAACUCCGGUGGUACAGGAUGGGCCCGCGUCUGAUUAGGUAGUUGGUGGGGCAGCGGCCUACCAAGCCGACGAUCAGUAGCCGACCUGAGAGGGUGACCGGCCACAUUGGGACUGAGACACGGCCCAAACUCCUACGGGAGGCAGCAGUGGGGAAUAUUGCACAAUGGGGGAAACCCUGAUGCAGCGACGCCGCGUGAAGGAAGAAGUAUUUCGGUAUGUAAACUUCUAUCAGCAGGGAAGAAACUGACGGUACCUGACUAAGAAGCACCGGCUAAAUACGUGCCAGCAGCCGCGGUAA
Molecule: ribosomal RNA, 516 nt
Filed under: uncultured bacterium
Lineage: Bacteria
Description: bacterial SSU rRNA
Rfam family: Bacterial small subunit ribosomal RNA
Source: RNAcentral